CAAUAGCGUAUAUUAAAGUUGUUGCAGUUAAAAAGCUCGUAGUUGAAUUUCUGGCGGGCGCGCCGGUCUUCCAAGUGUUGUACUGGGCGCAGCCCGCCAUCCUUGUGGAGAGGGCUCGCAUUGAGUUGCGUGUCGGAUCUGCAUCAUUUACUGUGAAAAAAUUAGAGUGUUUAAAGCAGGCUGUCGCUUGAAUACAUUAGCAUGGAAUAAUAAGAUAGGACUUCGGUCUAUUUUGUUGGUUGCGAACCGAGGUAAUGAUUAAUAGGGAUAGUUGGGGGUAUUCAUAUUUAAUUGUCAGAGGUGAAAUUCUUGGAUUUAUGAAAGAUGAACAACUGCGAAAGCAUUUACCAAGGAUGUUUUCAUUAA
RNAcentral lists this ribosomal RNA (366 nucleotides) under uncultured eukaryote. RNAcentral's name for it is "partial 18S ribosomal RNA". It matches the Rfam family "Eukaryotic small subunit ribosomal RNA", at positions 592 to 976 of the family's 1831-position model. The record is from RNAcentral.